UACAGAGGGUGCGAGCGUUAAUCGGAAUUACUGGGCGUAAAGCGCACGUAGUCGGCUUUGCAAGUCGGGUGUGAAAUCCCCGGGCUCAACCUGGGAACUGCAUCCGAGACUGCAUUGCUAGAGUAUGGGAGAGGGAAGCGGAAUUUCUGGUGUAGCAGUGAAAUGCGUAGAUAUCAGAAGGAACAUCAGUGGCGAAGGCGGCUUAAUGGACCAAUACUGACGAUCAGGUGCGAAAGCGUGGGGAGCAAACAGG
Molecule: ribosomal RNA, 253 nt
Filed under: uncultured bacterium
Lineage: Bacteria
Description: partial 16S ribosomal RNA
Rfam family: Bacterial small subunit ribosomal RNA
Source: RNAcentral